UAGAGUUUGAUCCUGGCUCAGAUUGAACGCUGGCGGCAUGCUUUACACAUGCAAGUCGAACGGCAGCGGGGGCUUCGGCCUGCCGGCGAGUGGCGAACGGGUGAGUAAUGCAUCGGAACGUGCCCAUGUCGUGGGGGAUAACUACGCGAAAGCGUAGCUAAUACCGCAUACGCCCUGAGGGGGAAAGCGGGGGAUUCUUCGGAACCUCGCGCGAUUGGAGCGGCCGAUGUCAGAUUAGCUAGUUGGUGAGGUAAAGGCUCACCAAGGCGACGAUCUGUAGCGGGUCUGAGAGGAUGAUCCGCCACACUGGGACUGAGACACGGCCCAGACUCCUACGGGAGGCAGCAGUGGGGAAUUUUGGACAAUGGGCGCAAGCCUGAUCCAGCCAUGCCGCGUGAGUGAAGAAGGCCUUCGGGUUGUAAAGCUCUUUCGGCCGGGAAGAAAUCGGCGACUCUAACAUAGUCGCUGGAUGACGGUACCGGACUAAGAAGCACCGGCUAACUACGUGCCAGCAGCCGCGGUAAUACGUAGGUGCGAGCGUUAUCCGAAUUACUGGGCGUAAA
Molecule: ribosomal RNA, 563 nt
Filed under: uncultured Thauera sp.
Lineage: Bacteria; Pseudomonadati; Pseudomonadota; Betaproteobacteria; Rhodocyclales; Zoogloeaceae
Description: bacterial SSU rRNA
Rfam family: Bacterial small subunit ribosomal RNA
Source: RNAcentral